GAUGAACGCUGGCGGCGUGCUUAACACAUGCAAGUCGAACGAUGAAGCCCAGCUUGCUGGGUGGAUUAGUGGCGAACGGGUGAGUAACACGUGAGUAACCUGCCCUUAACUCUGGGAUAAGCCUGGGAAACUGGGUCUAAUACCGGAUAGGAGCGUCCACCGCAUGGUGGGUGUUGGAAAGAUUUAUCGGUUUUGGAUGGACUCGCGGCCUAUCAGCUUGUUGGUGAGGUAAUGGCUCACCAAGGCGACGACGGGUAGCCGGCCUGAGAGGGUGACCGGCCACCCUGGGACUGAGACACGGCCCAGACUCCUACGGGAGGCAGCAGUGGGGAAUAUUGCACAAUGGGCGAAAGCCUGAUGCAGCGACGCCGCGUGAGGGAUGACGGCCUUCGGGUUGUAAACCUCUUUCAGUAGGGAAGAAGCGAAAGUGACGGUACCUGCAGAAGAAGCACCGGCUAACUACGUG
Molecule: ribosomal RNA, 466 nt
Filed under: uncultured bacterium
Lineage: Bacteria
Description: partial 16S ribosomal RNA
Rfam family: Bacterial small subunit ribosomal RNA
Source: RNAcentral